This 39-nucleotide ribosomal RNA is filed under the name Hydnum cremeoalbum. RNAcentral's name for it is "partial 28S ribosomal RNA". Lineage: Eukaryota; Fungi; Basidiomycota; Agaricomycetes; Cantharellales; Hydnaceae. The record is from RNAcentral.
CUGACCUCGAAUCAGGUGGGACUACCCGCUGAACUUAAG